UCUGGUUGAUCCUGCCAGUAGCAUAUGCCUGACUUGGAGACUAAGCCAUGCAUGUCUAAGUAUAAGUAGUAUAUUGCGAAACUGCGAAUGGCUCAUUAAAACAGUUAUAAUUUAUUUGGUGAUAACCUUACAUGGAUAACCGUGGGAAACUGGGGCUAAUACAUGCAAAAAAGCCGAAAGGCCGUAUUUAUUAGUUUAAAUCUCAAGUUUAUGAGGAAUCAUAAUAACUCAUCGAAGCGCAUCACUGCGCUACACCAUUCAAGUUUCUGCCCUAUCAGCUUUCGAUGGUAGUGUAUUGGACUACCAUGGCAAUAACGGGUAACGGAGAAUUGGGGUUCGAUUCCGGAGAAGGAGCCUGAGAAACGGCUACUAUUUCUAAGGAAGGCAGCAGGCGCGUAAAUUACCCAAUCCUGACUAAGGGAGGUAGUUAAUGGAAAUAACACGAUCGGCUCUAUGAGCUCUGAUCAUGUAAUGAGUUGAACUUAGAAAACUCUUUGAAUCCUAUUAGAGGGCAAGUCUGGUGCCAGCAGCCGCGGUAAUUCCAGCUCUAAUAGCGUAUAUUAACGCUGUUGCAGUUAAAAAGCUCGUAGUUGAAAUUCCGGCGACUCGUCGCCUGUCUGGGAGAUCCAGAGAUAACGAAAGUUUUCGCUGGCUUGAACAGACUUUUACUGUGAACAAAAUAGAGUGCUUAAAGCAGGCAAUAGCUUGAAUAUCUUAGCAUGGAAUAAUAAAAAAUGACUUUAUUCAUUUUUUUGGUUAUUGGAUGAAGUAAUGGUUAACAGGAACAGUUGGGGGCAUUUGUACUUAAUAGUCAGAGGUGAAAUUCAUAGAUUUAUUAAAGACAAACUAAUGCGAAAGCAUUUGCCAAGGAUGUUUUCAUUAAUCAAGAACGAAAGUUAGGGUAUCGAAGACGAUCAGAUACCGUCGUAGUCCUAACCAUAAACUAUACCGACUAGGGAUUGGCAGGGAACACCCCUGUCAGCACCUAAUGAGAAAUCAAAGUCUUUGGGUUCUGGGGGGAGUAUGGUCGCAAGGCUGAAACUUAAAGGAAUUGACGGAAGGGCACUACCAGGAGUGGAUUCUGCGGCUUAAUUUGAUUCAACACGGGAAAACUUACCAAGGCAACAUAUCGAGAGGAUUGACAGAUUGAUAGCUUUUUCUUGAUCCGAUACUUAGUGGUGCAUGGCCGUUCUUAGUUGGUGGAGUGAUUUGUCAGGUUAAUUCCCUUAACGAACGAGAUCUCAACCUGCUAAAUAGGAGGCUCUAAACUCUAGAGCUAUCCUUCUUAGAGGGACUACUGAUGCAAAUCAGUGGAAGUUUGAGGCAAUAACAGGUCCGUGAUGCCCUUAGAUGUCUUGGGCCGCACGCGUAAUACAAUGAUACAUGCAGUAAGUCAACCUAGUCCGAAAGGAGUUGGGUAAUCUUUUCAAAGUGUAUCUUGCUUGGGAUAGACCUUUGCAAUUAUAGGUCUUGAACGAGGAAUUCCUAGUAAGCAUGGGUCAUCAACCCAUGUUGAUUACGUCCCUGCCCUUUGUACACACCGCCCGCCGCUUCUACCGAUUCGAGUGGUUCGACGAAUUCUCCAGACCGGCCUGGCCGGGAAGUUGUGUAAGUCAUAUCACUUAGAGGAAGAAUAAGGCGUAACAAGGUA
Molecule: ribosomal RNA, 1651 nt
Filed under: metagenome
Description: SSU rRNA
Rfam family: Eukaryotic small subunit ribosomal RNA
Source: RNAcentral